Molecule: transfer-messenger RNA, 354 nt
Filed under: Desulfatitalea alkaliphila
Lineage: Bacteria; Pseudomonadati; Thermodesulfobacteriota; Desulfobacteria; Desulfobacterales; Desulfosarcinaceae
Also listed under: 1 other name
Rfam family: transfer-messenger RNA
About the family: Bacterial tmRNA, also known as 10Sa RNA or SsrA, is named for its dual tRNA and mRNA-like properties.
Source: Rfam by way of RNAcentral
GGGGGCGAAACGGCUUCGACGGGGACAAAGAAGUGCUGGUUGCAUGCCGAGUGCUCAUCGGCUCGUAAACUCGAUGGGAAACUAAAUAUAAUCGCAGACGAUUAUAACUACGCCGUAGCUGCUUAGGCAGCUGCCGUCCUACCGUAUCACUCCUGCGGACACGGAUAGGGCGCCGACUUGCAGGAUAGUUUAUGCCGAAUGCCUGUUACGGUAUAAAUGAAAUUCUAGCAGGCUAGCGGUUCCAGCCUCUCGUCCGAUGGAGCCUCGAAUCGCGAACUUAAUCAUCGGAACAAGCAUGUAGACGCCAGUGCGGAAUGUUUUCGGACGCGGGUUCAACUCCCGCCGCCUCCACCA